GAAAUGCGAUAAGUAAUGUGAAUUGCAGAAUUCAGUGAAUCAUCGAAUCUUUGAACGCACAUUGCGCCCGCCAGUAUUCUGGCGGGCAUGCCUGUCCGAGCGUCAUCUCGACCAUCAAGCCCCCGGGCUUGUGUUGGGGACCUGCGGCUGCCCGCAGGCCCUGAAAACCAGUGGCGGGCUCGCUGUCACACCGAGCGUAGUAGCAAUCACCUCGCUCAGGGCGUGCUGCGGGUUCCGGCCGUUAAACAGCCUUACAAAACCCAAGGUUGACCUCGGAUCAGGUAGGAAGACCCGCUGAACUUAAGC
Molecule: unclassified non-coding RNA, 306 nt
Filed under: plant metagenome
Description: partial contains 5.8S ribosomal RNA, internal transcribed spacer 2, and large subunit ribosomal RNA
Rfam family: 5.8S ribosomal RNA (bases 1-105)
Source: RNAcentral